UAUGACUCUUACUCUGAUAUAUUUGCUUUCUAAGAUACCUUUUUCAAUUUUAAUUCUAAGUACACAGUGUGGAAGAUGCAAUUAGAAAAUGAAUUUAUUUUGGUGUUGCAUAUAUGACUGAUUUUCCAAAAUUAAUGGAAAAUGUGUAUUAUGAAAAAACUGUGCAGGUAUUUCAAAAUAUUUUUCACCAAAAUAAACUUAUCUUUCAUUUGGUCUUUUACUUAUUUUCUUCUUUAUUUGAAAGGCAGGGAGAGAAAGAGCCAUCUGCCGUCCUCCUUCUGGUUCACCUGCAACCGCCAGGACUGCGCAGGCGCAAGCUGGGAGUCGGGGCUUCCAUCCGGGGCUUCCACUGAGUGCCGGAACCGCCGCCUCCGCCAUCUUCUCUCCUUGUAUCUUCAGCCUCCAUUUUCCUUGUCUCUGUCAUGGAAAGAAGCUUAAAGUCGUCUCCCCAGCAGCGGAGCCACCUCCUCUGCACAGAGUCCCGAAGCUUUAUUUCCACUUCCUUAAUCCAAAUUUUCUUUGGGUGGCAAUAUCUCCAGCUUUGAGACUACGAAAAGUCCAUCUGUUCCCGGGAUGUCCUGCAGCGAGGCGGGGCUGUGUGACCUGGUGCAGACCAAGGGGGGUCAGCACUCGGGAAAGCAGCUUGCACAGAAACGAGGGUUUCCCUGCAGAUAGCAAACUCCACCCGCAAACUUUUGGUUUUGCUCUGGAUUCCAGAAAGCACAGCAGCUGUCUCGCCAUCAUGAAGACAGACACGUUGACAGGAUGCUCAGAAAGACAGAAGGUGUUUGCAUCCCUGGUGGACCAGGUGGUCCAUCCCCAGAAUUCCUGUUACGUGGGAAAAGUAAAUCCCUUUAUCCCAGCCACUAUAGUCUGGUUUCUGAUAGUUGGGAGUGAAAUACAAUCCUAACUGGUACAGCACCAGAUUUACUUGGAUUCAAAUUGACAACCCUGAUGCACCGUUUGGGUGACUUUAAGCAAGUUACCAAAGUCUCUGUAACUUAAUUAGCAUAUUGGUGAAACAAGGGACCUGUGAUGAUUGCCUCUCAGAAUGUAGAACUCAGAAACAGAUUCGUGUGUCUGUGGGAGGUUGAUAUAUGUUACAGGAGGCUUCACAAAUGAAUGGAGAAAGGUGAGAUUAUUUAGUAGGUGGUGCUGGGGAAACUCACUCACUCUGCAAGAAGAAUAUAAAAUUGGAUCCUUACUUCCUAUGAUAUGAAAAAAUCCUCAAAUGGAUUAAAAUCCUAUCUACGAAAGAUAAAAACUGUAAAACUAGUAGCAGAAAAAUGUAACAUUACAUCUUGGACAUGUUGGCAUGGGCAUGAAAUUUAAAAGCAAGAGCCAAAGAUACAAAUUUUAGGGGAAAAAUAAUGGAUUUACUGACAUAAAAAUCAAUAUAUUUUUAAGUAAAAGCUACCGUGACCAAAAUUAACAGAUGGGUGGAUCAGAGAAGACUUUUAAAAAAUUUCUUUAUUUGAAAAUCAGACUUAGGGAGAGGCAAAGGAAGAGAGCAAGAGAAAGAGAGAGAGAGAGAGAGAGAGAGAGAGAGAGAAGGAGAUAGAAAGAGUGGUCUUCCAUCUGCAGAUCCACUCCCCAAAUGGCUGCAAUGACCGGGGCUGGGCCAGGCCCAAGUCAGGAGCCAGGAGCUUCAUCCAGGUCUCCCACAUGGGUGCAGGGGUCUAAGCACUUGUGCCACCUUCCACUGCUUUCCCAUGCGCAUUAGCAUGGAGCUGGAUCAGAAUUGGAAUAGCCGGGACUUGGAUCGGUACUCACAUGGCUGCUGGUGCUGUAGAAUGCCCCUGGAGAAGACAUUUUUAACCUGAAACCAACAGGAAAUUGCUCUCUAGAAUCAAGAGUCUAGGCUUGCACUGUCCGGCAGAACUGCCGCCAGCCACACGAGGUGGUCGGGAGCUUUCUGUGUGACCUAGCUCACGUUGAGAUGCAAUGCAAGAGCAAAAUACAUGCUUGAUUCUAAAGUCAGUGUGUACAAGGGAAUAUAAAGUAUCUCAACACUUUUGACAUGUUUAUUAGAUGCUGAAAUGAUAAUAUUUUGUUGUUUUUUGAGUGAGAGACAGAGAAACAGAGAGAGCACUCCCAGCUCAAGUAUCUGGGUCCAAGCUGGCUAGGUCCGGCCAAGGUCGGGAGUUGGGAACUCACUCCAGGUCUCCUGUAUGGGUGGCAGGAAUGUAACUGCUUGAGCUAUCACCACUGCCUCCCAGGUUCUGCCUUAGCAGGAAGCUGGAGUCAGGAGCAGGAGCUGCGAAUUGAACCCAGGCCUUCUGAUGUGGAAUGCAGCUGUUCUAACUGGCGUCUCAGCUAUUGGGGCAAACAUCUGAUCCCUGAUAAUAUUUUAGAUAUUUUGGGUUAAAUAAAAAACACUGUUUGUGCCA
Molecule: long non-coding RNA, 2390 nt
Filed under: Oryctolagus cuniculus (rabbit)
Lineage: Eukaryota; Metazoa; Chordata; Mammalia; Lagomorpha; Leporidae
Description: lncRNA (ENSOCUG00000036472.1)
Source: RNAcentral